RNAcentral lists this ribosomal RNA (465 nucleotides) under Vreelandella stevensii. Its description in RNAcentral is "partial 16S ribosomal RNA". It matches the Rfam family "Bacterial small subunit ribosomal RNA", at positions 338 to 795 of the family's 1533-position model. Lineage: Bacteria; Pseudomonadati; Pseudomonadota; Gammaproteobacteria; Oceanospirillales; Halomonadaceae. The record is from RNAcentral.
CCUACGGGCGGCUGCAGUGGGGAAUAUUGGACAAUGGGGGGAACCCUGAUCCAGCCAUGCCGCGUGUGUGAAGAAGGCCCUCGGGUUGUAAAGCACUUUCAGUGAGGAAGAACGCCUGGUGGUUAAUACCCAUCAGGAAAGACAUCACUCACAGAAGAAGCACCGGCUAACUCCGUGCCAGCAGCCGCGGUAAUACGGAGGGUGCGAGCGUUAAUCGGAAUUACUGGGCGUAAAGCGCGCGUAGGUGGCUUGAUAAGCCGGUUGUGAAAGCCCCGGGCUCAACCUGGGAACGGCAUCCGGAACUGUCAAGCUAGAGUGCAGGAGAGGAAGGUAGAAUUUCCGGUGUAGCGGUGAAAUGCGUAGAGAUCGGGAGGAAUACCAGUGGCGAAGGCGGCCUUCUGGACUGACACUGACACUGAGGUGCGAAAGCGUGGGUAGCAAACAGGAUUAGAUACCCUUGUAGUC